UUGGAGGGCAAGUCUGGUGCCAGCAGCCGCGGUAAUUCCAGCUCCAAUAGCGUAUAUUAAAGUUGUUGCAGUUAAAAAGCUCGUAGUUGAAUUUCGGGGUUCUUCCGUUGGUCAGGCUAACCAGUCUGUACUAGCGUGUAGAAUCUCUACCUUCUGGGGAACCAUCAUGUUAUUAAUUUAGCGUGGUGGGAAACCAGGACCUUUACCUUGAAAAAAUUAGAGUGUUCAAAGCAGGCUUACGUCUGAAUACAUUAGCAUGGAAUAAUAAAAUAGGACGGUGGUCCUGUUUUGUUGGUUUCUGAAUCACCGUAAUGAUUAAUAGGGAUAGUUGGGGGCAUUAGUAUUCAAUUGUCAGAGGUGAAAUUCUUGGAUUUAUUGAAGACUAACUUCUGCGAAAGCAUUUGCCAAGGAUGUUUUCAUUAAUCAAGAACGAAAGUUAGGGGAUCGAAGACGAUCAGAUACCGUCGUAGUCUUAACCAUAAACUAUGCCGACUAGGGAUCGGACGAUGUUAAAUUUUAUUGACUCGUUCGGCGCCUUACGGGAAAC
RNAcentral lists this ribosomal RNA (547 nucleotides) under uncultured Glomeromycotina. Its description in RNAcentral is "SSU rRNA". It matches the Rfam family "Eukaryotic small subunit ribosomal RNA", at positions 548 to 1098 of the family's 1831-position model. Lineage: Eukaryota; Fungi; Glomeromycota. The record is from RNAcentral.